GUUAGGAAUCUUCCACAAUGGGGGCAACCCUGAUGGAGCAACACCGCGUGCUGGUUGAAGGCCUUCGGGUCGUAAACAGCUUUUGUAUACGAAGAAUAUGACGGUAAUAUACGAAUAAGGGUCGGCUAACUACGUGCCAGCAGCCGCGGUCAUACGUAGGACCCAAGCGUUAUCCGGAGUGACUGGGCGUAAAGAGUUGCGUAGGCGGCUUAUUAAGCGAGUAGUGAAAUCUGGUGGCUCAACCAUCAACACAUUGCUCGAACUGAUAGGCUUGAGAAUGGUAGAGGUAGUUGGAAUUUCUUGUGUAGGAGUGAAAUCCGUAGAUAUAAGAAGGAACACCAAUGGCGUAGGCAGACUACUGGACCAUUUCUGACGCUGAGGCACGAAAGCGUGGGGAGCGAACCGGAUUAGAUACCCGGGUAGUCC
Molecule: ribosomal RNA, 426 nt
Filed under: uncultured bacterium
Lineage: Bacteria
Description: partial 16S ribosomal RNA
Rfam family: Bacterial small subunit ribosomal RNA
Source: RNAcentral